GAUGAACGCUAGCGGCAGGCCUAACACAUGCAAGUCGAGGGGUAGAGAGAGCUUGCUUUCUUGAGACCGGCGGAUGGGUGAGUAACGCGUAUGCAACCUACCUUUUACAGGGGAAUAGCCCGGAGAAAUUCGGAUUAAUGCUCCAUGGUUUAUAGAUGUGGCAUCGCAUUUAUAAUAAAGAUUUAUCGGUAAAAGAUGGGCAUGCGUAUCAUUAGCUAGUUGGUGUGGUAACGGCAUACCAAGGCUACGAUGAUUAGGGGUCCUGAGAGGGAGAUCCCCCACACUGGUACUGAGACACGGACCAGACUCCUACGGGAGGCAGCAGUGAGGAAUAUUGGUCAAUGGAGGCAACUCUGAACCAGCCAUGCCGCGUGCAGGAUGACGGUCCUAUGGAUUGUAAACUGCUUUUGUACGGGAAGAAAUGUAGUUACGUGUAACUAUUUGACGGUACCGUAAGAAUAAGGAUCGGCUAACUCCGUGCCAGCAGCCGCGGUAAUACGGAGGAUCCGAGCGUUAUCCGGAAUUAUUGGGUUUAAAGGGUUCGUAGGCGGUUUAGUAAGUCAGUGGUGAAAUCUUGCAGCUUAACUGUAAAAUUGCCGUUGAUACUGCUAAACUUGAAUAGUAUGGAAGUAAUUAGAAUAUGUAGUGUAGCGGUGAAAUGCUUAGAUAUUACAUGGAAUACCAAUUGCGAAGGCAGAUUACUACGUACUUAUUGACGCUGAUGAACGAAAGCGUGGGUAGCGAACAGGAUUAGAUACCCUGGUAGUCCACGCCGUAAACGAUGGAUACUAGCUGUUCGGUUUUCGGACUGAGUGGCUAAGCGAAAGUGAUAAGUAUCCCACCUGGGGAGUACGUUCGCAAGAAUGAAACUCAAAGGAAUUGACGGGGGCCCGCACAAGCGGUGGAGCAUGUGGUUUAAUUCGAUGAUACGCGAGGAACCUUACCAAGGCUUAAAUGUAGAUUGACAGGUUUAGAGAUAGACUUUCCUUCGGGCAAUUUACAAGGUGCUGCAUGGUUGUCGUCAGCUCGUGCCGUGAGGUGUCAGGUUAAGUCCUAUAACGAGCGCAACCCCUAUUGUUAGUUGCCAGCGGGUGAUGCCGGGAACUCUAACAAGACUGCCGGUGCAAACCGUGAGGAAGGUGGGGAUGACGUCAAAUCAUCACGGCCCUUACGUCUUGGGCUACACACGUGCUACAAUGGCCAGUACAGAAAGCAGCUACCAGGCAACUGGAUGCGAAUCUCGAAAGCUGGUCUCAGUUCGGAUUGGAGUCUGCAACUCGACUCUAUGAAGCUGGAAUCGCUAGUAAUCGGAUAUCAGCCAUGAUCCGGUGAACACGUUCCCGGGCCU
Molecule: ribosomal RNA, 1348 nt
Filed under: uncultured bacterium
Lineage: Bacteria
Description: bacterial SSU rRNA
Rfam family: Bacterial small subunit ribosomal RNA
Source: RNAcentral